UGGUGGAGUGAUUUGUCAGGUUAAUUCCGAUAACGAACGAGACUCUGACCUACUAAAUAGUUUGCUCAUACUUAGUUGUGUUUGCAAACUUCUUAGAGGGAUAAGUAGCGUUGAGCUACAUGAAAUAGAGCAAUAACA
RNAcentral lists this ribosomal RNA (138 nucleotides) under uncultured eukaryote. Its description in RNAcentral is "partial 18S ribosomal RNA". It matches the Rfam family "Eukaryotic small subunit ribosomal RNA", at positions 1299 to 1458 of the family's 1831-position model. The record is from RNAcentral.